Molecule: long non-coding RNA, 1724 nt
Organism: Equus caballus (horse)
Lineage: Eukaryota; Metazoa; Chordata; Mammalia; Perissodactyla; Equidae
Source: Ensembl
AUGCAGUGGAGCUCCUCCCUAGCAAGCUUUGGCAGCACUUCUGCAGGCACUUUCCCUGGGAGUUCUAUGGGUGCUCUAGUUGGCCUGUAGGUGGAGAGUUCAACAACAACCACCAAGGGCAGCUUCCGGAAGACUAUCGUCAACAUUCCAAUGGGCAGAUUCUUGCCCACCAGGCUUGGCCCACUGGCACUCCAGUGAAGGUUUUACUGCUUGCCUGUGCUGUCCUGUACUUCCCUGACCACCAGCUCAGCCCAGUAACUGCGGGCCAGUUCUGGCUCAGGGCAGCCCAGCAAACUUCCCCACAGCCUAGUGGGUUACAAUCGCAACCUCUUCAAGAAGGCUGGAAUCUCAUAUCUGAGAUCUUUGGGGAUAGACAUUGGACGAUUAUUGGAGAAUAACUGUGGUUUGUCAUAAACUGAAUCAGGCAGUGAUUCCAAAUGCAGCUGUCGUCUCUGUUGAACCUUUACUGGAGCAAAUCAGUGCAAUUCCCAGCCUUUGAGAGCUCAUGGAUGCUGUGCCCUCCGUGUCACCACGCCAUUUUUCAGCUAGUGCUAAUUCAGUUAUUGGCUGGCUGAACGCAGGGGUCCUAGUGGAGGACUUUGGGGAGGCCCUACAAGAUGGCGGAACCACAAAAUGGAAGGCACUGGAUCCCUAGAUCACCACAAAAAGGAUUUUCCAUUGAACUCCUCAUUGGACUGUAAUGUGAAUGAAAAAUAAGUUUAAACAGUUACUAAGCCACUGAGACAUUUGAGUUGCCGUGAUAUCCGCAGCUGUAAUUACUCUGAGUCUACAAGAAAUAUAGUGCAACACGGUCUACCCGUACGACAGCUGUAAAGUUCUAGCAUAGUGCUUGGUAAGAAGCAGGCGUUCAAUAAACAUUAAUUCCUCGAUACAAGACUGAAAUCAAUGACAGGAACUCGACACCGAAUUGGAGGUAUGUUUCAGGUACCAAAUUAAACACAUUAAUUUGAAAUGAGGACAAUAGGUUCAGGAAGAUGAAAUGGAGACCUCUACACGUCUUCCUCAAGCACAUUGUCUCACCCAGUUGUACCCACAGCUCGACGAGCUCGAUACUGUUACUACUACAUAUGACCGAUGAGGAGACAAAAAAACUUGGGCAGUUUGCUGAAAUUUUCUAAACUUUUGCCUCCUCAUAGGUCGGCAGUGAUAAAACUGAGAUUCAAAUCCGGGCAUUUCCAUUCCAAAGCCCGAGUGUUCAGUCACUAUAUUAUAUUUUAUGUCACCCAGAAUCCUAGCCUAGUUCACCUUUCCACAAUAUUUUAACCCAUGGAGGCCAGCAAUAUGUCCUGUCUCUAAGGGUUCCCCAAGGGACUAGUAUGGUGCUUGGCAGAAACCUCAAAAAUGUUGACUUAUUGAUUGCUUUGUGUGAACUGUCUCAGUUCUGAAUCCAAGAAAAUGUAGAUAGGAAUGUCUUUUCCUCACAAAUAGGCAAAUCACAAAAGAGCAAACGAUGAUGAGUUAUAUAUUAGGUUGUCUCAGAGUAAAUAGGCAGCCAUUCUUGCCCCGGAUGUAAGUAGACUCUCAGUCCUAAGUGACCAACAUGGUGUGGUACCUCGGAGCAUCCAUUGCUGAACAUCCUUUGUGAAACGUCCUCCUGAAGAAGGCCUUGGAGGCCUGGUUCACUGUCGCUACUAAAGCCAUUUUGGCUCCAGAUUUUCUUAUUGAAGCCAAGUUUCCAUAGUCUUAUUUUUUUUUGAUAUUAA